GCAAUUAGCAUAAAAUUCAUAGAUUCCUUCCUCUCGAAUGCUCUCAGGUCACUCUCCUUCCAAGCACUCACAUAACGAGAUUUUUUUUUUGGACACGCAGGAUAGUAUUAUUGAUGAUAUAAAAGCUAUACAUCACAGUCCCUCAAAAAAAAGUUGCCCGAUCAAAUUCUGCCAGAAGAGAAACCCCAUCAAAGAUUUAAGUCAAAACCACACAUAAGGCAUUCAAAUAUAUACUAGCAUACUCAGUGCACGCAUGUGCAAAUUUUGAAACAGUUAUUCGUAAAUGUGCAACAUCUAUACCAGAUACGAACAGAAAAAAGAAAGCCAAGAAACCUUAAUUAAAAUGAUAUAUAUUACGGGGAAAAAAAAAAAGAUAUGCAAAAUGCCUAAACGAUAACCUUUCACUUAAUUGACCAGCCAAGCAUAAAUCAAUGACCUAAAAUUCGGAUACAAUACCAGCAAAGCAUCUGCGACGUCGAUUCAAGACAAUGUCACAUGUCUUGCCAGAUUAAAAUGCUGAAUUAAAUGAAAAAAGCAAAGCAAGCAACAAAAGAAAUAUGAAAACCCUAAAAAACCGAUUCCUGCUGCAGAAAAACGAUCAAGAAAAAAGGAAACGAAAACAAAAGAACAUCAAUGCAUCAUUCAAAGACGUAAUCAGAACAACUUGAAAUCGAAAAUCGACGACACUCAAGCCCUAAUAGCAGAGUCGCGAUAAAGAAGAGAUUACCUACGGAGAAAAAGUGCUCCGAUUCGGAGCUGUAGGUAGAUGGAGAGUGCCUUUGUUCGACGAGGAAUCGGCGAGGCCUUGAAUCGAGCAGGGAUUUAUAGCGGUGAAGUAAGGGGGCGAAGACAGAGACGAAAUGCGAGUCCGCUUACAAAGGAGCGGAUUUUCUGAACAGAGAGUAGAUUCUGUUGAACAUAAUGAGCAGGCUUUAUUUAUAUAUGCUCUCCGUGGUAACAGUUCCUGUGUGUUGCAUUUAGUUUAUGCUAAAACGGGGUGCC
This 1002-nucleotide long non-coding RNA is filed under the name Carica papaya (papaya). RNAcentral describes it as "long non-coding RNA (CPAP_LNC012057)". Lineage: Eukaryota; Viridiplantae; Streptophyta; Magnoliopsida; Brassicales; Caricaceae. The record is from RNAcentral.